UACGAAGGGUGCUAGCGUUGUUCGGAAUUACUGGGCGUAAAGCGCGUGUAGGCGGUUUGGCAAGUUGGAAGUGAAAGCCUGGGGCUUAACCUCAGAAUUGCUUUCAAAACUGCCAAACUAGAGUAUGGUAGGGGAGAGUGGAAUUUCUAGUGUAGGGGUGAAAUCCGUAGAUAUUAGAAGGAACACCAGAGGCGAAGGCGACUCUCUGGACCAUUACUGACGCUAAGACGCGAAAGCGUGGGGAGCGAACAGGAUUAGAUACCCUGGUAGU
Molecule: ribosomal RNA, 271 nt
Filed under: uncultured bacterium
Lineage: Bacteria
Description: partial 16S ribosomal RNA
Rfam family: Bacterial small subunit ribosomal RNA
Source: RNAcentral